UACGGGGGGAGCUAGCGUUGUCCGGAAUCAUUGGGCGUAAAGGGCAUGUAGGUGGGACUUUAAGUCAAUUGUUAAAUCGUACGGCUUAACCGUAUACUGCAGUUGAUACUGGAGUUCUUGAGUGUGAGAGGGGACAGAGGAAUACCUGGUGUAGCGGUGGAAUGCGUAGAUAUUAGGUAGAACACUUGAGGCGAAGGCGUCUGUCUGGCUCAUCACUGACACUGAAAUGCGAAAGUAUGGGGAGCAAACAGG
RNAcentral lists this ribosomal RNA (252 nucleotides) under uncultured bacterium. RNAcentral describes it as "partial 16S ribosomal RNA". It matches the Rfam family "Bacterial small subunit ribosomal RNA", at positions 524 to 776 of the family's 1533-position model. The record is from RNAcentral.